RNAcentral lists this ribosomal RNA (367 nucleotides) under uncultured bacterium. RNAcentral describes it as "bacterial SSU rRNA". It matches the Rfam family "Bacterial small subunit ribosomal RNA", at positions 527 to 896 of the family's 1533-position model. The record is from RNAcentral.
GGAGGAUCCAAGCGUUAGUCCGGAUUUAUUGGGUUUAAAGGGUGCGUAGGCGGCCUGUUAAGUCAGGGGUGAAAGACGGUAGCUCAACUAUCGCAGUGCCCUUGAUACUGAUGGGCUUGAAUGUACUAGAGGUAGGCGGAAUGUGACAAGUAGCGGUGAAAUGCAUAGAUAUGUCACAGAACACCAAUUGCGAAGGCAGCUUACUAUGGUAUGAUUGACGCUGAGGCACGAAAGCGUGGGGAUCAAACAGGAUUAGAUACCCUGGUAGUCCACGCCCUAAACGAUGAAUACUCGAUGUUAGCGAUAUACAGUUAGCGUCAAAGCGAAAGCGUUAAGUAUUCCACCUGGGGAGUACGCCCGCAAGGUG